RNAcentral lists this transfer RNA (75 nucleotides) under Xenopus cf. tropicalis Asashima-A-001. RNAcentral's name for it is "tRNA-Leu". It matches the Rfam family "tRNA". Rfam says of the family: Transfer RNA (tRNA) molecules are approximately 80 nucleotides in length. Their secondary structure includes four short double-helical elements and three loops (D, anti-codon, and T loops). The record is from RNAcentral. Lineage: Eukaryota; Metazoa; Chordata; Amphibia; Anura; Pipidae.
GCUAGUGUGGCAGAGCCUGGCCAAUGCAAAAGACCUAAGCUCUUUGAAUCAGGGGUUCAAAUCCCCUCACUAUCU